RNAcentral lists this non-coding RNA (29 nucleotides) under Rattus norvegicus (Norway rat). The record is from RNAcentral. Lineage: Eukaryota; Metazoa; Chordata; Mammalia; Rodentia; Muridae.
UGAAAAGAAACCCAUCUUCAACUGAAAAG